UAGGUAGAGUGUGAGGAGGAGGUC
RNAcentral lists this microRNA (24 nucleotides) under Homo sapiens (human). RNAcentral describes it as "hsa-miR-6831-5p". Lineage: Eukaryota; Metazoa; Chordata; Mammalia; Primates; Hominidae. The record is from miRBase by way of RNAcentral.